This is an RNA transcript of Lolium rigidum, 2294 nucleotides long. RefSeq lists it as uncharacterized. The transcript has 2 exons. The record is from RefSeq and is a predicted model, not a curated record. NCBI's taxonomy places the organism in Eukaryota, Viridiplantae, Streptophyta, Magnoliopsida, Poales, Poaceae.
UGUUAUGAAGGUACUGGUAAAUUCACAUACAUGAAGUUGUUGCAUGUCCAUCAAAUUGUCUAGCCUUCGAGGAUGGAAUUAUUUGUUGGAAACGACUUCUGAAUCUGCAGAAUAAGAAGUUCAUUCACACUCUUUUCUCUCUAAUACUUGCGGUCACAAGACCAUGGUGUUAAUGGAGUCAAAUAACUUCAGGUGUUUUAGACGCAUCACUUUGUUCCUCGGCUGAUUUGUAAGGCAGCAGUAUAAUUAUCCGCUACUCCGGUCAACAGAGUAAUGGUAGUUUGGUCGUCUCCUGUGUUUAUGCCAUAAACAUAAUACUCCCUAAAUACUGCAGUAUGCACGUAUGCACAGAUUUCCUGUUUGAUAAACUAUGGUGAAUGAGAAGCUAGCUAGCUUAUGCACUCGAUUCCCUGUUAGAUACUGCAGUAUAUACUUCUUGCUUUUGUUGUUCUUAAUAUAGCUUGCUAGUUCUGGAUUUAAUCAUUCUUUCUAGUUCUGUAUGCUUAUCAUGGAGUAGUUGCUUUAUUUUCUGAGUAGGAGUUUAUACUUUCUAUAGGAGUAGGAGUAUAAAUACUUAAGUUCUCCGUUAAGGUGAUGGAGUAGUAGUAUAUACUUUAAACUAUGAUGACAUUACAGUCUAAAUAAAAUCCACUUUUAAAUUACAACCACUUGAGAAGGUAAUUCAAUGUAAAUGUACAACCUGUUGAGUAUUCUGCGCAAAAUACCCACUUCUGUACUUUUAAAUUCACUUUAAUCUGGAGUAGUGGUAUAAUGAAGAUGGUAUCUGAAUUCACUUUAAUCAACCAGAUGUUCCUUUAGCUUAGUACUCCAUGAGCUUAUUGUCAUAUUUCUAGUAUUGGAGUAUGUCUUCUAGAUGUGAAUGAGCUCGGAGGCGACCUGUUGGUGAACAACCUGUAGGUGUACUCCAUGAGCUUAUCUGUUUUCCUUCUUCAGACCAUGCCCGCCGGUUUUAUCAUCCUUAUUUGUGAAUCAUUAGACUCCUGAAAAUCUCUGGCUCCUGAAAAUCAUAAAACUGAUGAAAUGCACGCCGGUUUCUAUCAUCAUUAUUUGUUAAAUCUCUGGCUCCUGUGUGCAUUUUCUGAAUAAUAUUAACUGAAAUUUAAUGUGUGCAUUUUCUGAAUCAUAUUAGCUAGAAUUUAUUGUGUGCAUUUCUACUCGAGCUAUCAUUACAUCAUUGCCAAAUGUUUAUCAGGUUGCAUACAGUGAAAUUUAUUAUUCAGAUACACAUGGAAAGGAAGAGAGUCGAAUGCAUCACCUUUUUUAUUCAGACACACAUGGAACUUAUUAAGGCAUAGAGAUGUUUCCCUUUUUUUUGAAGGAUAGAUGUCAGUUUAUUCUUAGCCUUUCAAUCACUAUGAUCUUUGAACUUUGAAUGAUGCUAGAUAUCAGGUCUGUAUCCUGCAAAUUGUUCAGCGCAUGCAACUCGUCAUUCUGCACAAUUAGCACAUGUCCUGUUUGUUCUGCGCAUAUAUCUGUAGCAUUAGUAAACUACUAACAGGAGUAGUAAAAUGGAUAGUGGAAAUGUUUCAAACUGAAUUUUCGUGCACUGAACCACACCAUUUCUUAUCUUCUUUUAAUCUGCAUCUCUCUUUUCCUUCUUCUGAUCCUUUGAUUCAAUAAUGUCAUUAUCAUUUCUUCCUUAUUAAAAGGUUUAGAGCAGUUCUUUUCUUUUAAUUUGCAGCUAUUGUUUAUUCAGUUGAGACUAUUGAGCAAGUUGCAGUAAACCUGAGGCCGACGUGUAGCAAUUUAAGCACCUACCCUAAUGGAUGAUUCAUUUCUCUUCGGGUGGAGAGAAGUUGAGGCCUGGAAGAACCAUGGUGAUCUGCUGUGCUGCCGAGCAAGGAAGAAGGUCUUGUGUUGGGCGCAUGUGGACCUGGAGGUGCUUACCGGUACUCUGUUGGGUAAGUGUUGGGCACGUGUGGACCUGGAGGUGCAGCUGGCUUACAGGGAGAGCAGCUGGGUGACCUGGAGCUGCCGCGAGUUGGGCCACAAGCUGGGUGGCGCAACCAGAUCGUCGGUGAAGGAGUCCGAUGGUGAGACAUAACUGUUGUUCGCCGCUGCAAGCCUGUCCAUGGCCAGCGCGGACACAGUGGGUCGCGCCGCUGUAGUUUGAAUUAUCACCUAGUUUGGCUUUGAAGUUCUGUGUGAUAGUUUGUAGGAAUUUAAAUGUUUGAAUUAUCUGUUUUUAUUACCAGAUGUUUAUGCCGGUUGUUUCUGUAGUUUCGACAGAAUUUGAUGUUGUUUAGUAGGCAAUCAUAACUUGAAUUCCUUGU